AGAGUUUGAUCAUGGCUCAGGACGAACGCUGGCGGCGUGCCUAACACAUGCAAGUGUACGGGACCGGGGGCAACUCCGGUUCAGUGGCAGAUGGGUGCGUAACACGUGAGCAACUUGUCCGUCGGCGGGGGAUAGCCGGCCCAACGCCGGGUAAUACCGCUUACGCUCGCUCGGGGACAUCCCUGAGCGAGGAAAGCAGCCGCAAGGUUGCGCCGGUGGAGAGGCUCGCGGCCUAUCAGCUUGUUGGCGGGGUAAUGGCCCACCAAGGCGACGACGGGUAGCUGGUCUGAGAGGAUGGCCAGCCACAUUGGGACUGAGACACGGCCCAGACUCCUACGGGAGGCAGCAGUGGGGAAUAUUGCGCAAUGGCCGCAAGGCUGACGCAGCGACGCCGCGUGUGGGAUGACGGCCUUCGGGUUGUAAACCACUGUCGGGGGGGACGAAUACAGGGCUUCGAAUAGGAGACCCUGGGUGACGGUACCUCCAAAGGAAGCACCGGCUAACUCCGUGCCAGCAGCCGCGGUAAUACGGAGGGUGCGAGCGUUGUCCGGAAUCACUGGGCGUAAAGGGCGCGUAGGUGGCCCGUUAAGUUGCCGGUGAAAUCCCGCGGCUCAACCGCGGGGCUGCCGGUAAGACUGGCGGGCUCGAGCACGGUAGAGGCAGAUGGAAUUCCCGGUGUAGCGGUGGAAUGCGUAGAGAUCGGGAAGAACACCAGUGGCGAAGGCGUUCUGCUGGGCCGUUGCUGACACUGAGGCGCGACAGCGUGGGGAGCAAACAGGAUUAGAUACCCUAGUAGUCC
Molecule: ribosomal RNA, 799 nt
Filed under: uncultured bacterium
Lineage: Bacteria
Description: bacterial SSU rRNA
Rfam family: Bacterial small subunit ribosomal RNA
Source: RNAcentral